This is a long non-coding RNA of Oxyura jamaicensis (ruddy duck), 886 nucleotides long. RefSeq lists it as uncharacterized. The transcript is spliced from 3 exons. The record is from RefSeq and is a predicted model, not a curated record. NCBI's taxonomy places the organism in Eukaryota, Metazoa, Chordata, Aves, Anseriformes, Anatidae.
CACCAGCUCCGUGUUGGCAUUAAUUGUCAUCAGAGGGAGGUUCAGCACCUGCUGGUUUGACCCGUGGCUCCAGCUGAAGGAGCCUGGGUCGGGCAGUUACCGUCCUGCUGCUGCCUCACCAGGGUUUACGGAGCUCUGCUCAGACUCUUAAAUAAGCUUCUGCAAAGAAAACAGAAAAGGCCUCCUAGUUCAUUCAGUCAAUCGCCCUUCAGAGCUGCAAUUAAUGAUUUUAAUGCAGUGGUGGAAGCUGGCAGUUCUGCUAAAUAUUACUGAGCUGCCUACAAAUAUUGCAAGAUGUUUCCUGCUUUUAAAUGAAGUCUGAAAAAAUCAGAGAACUCGUUUCCACUCUGGCCCUUAUACUGAGAAAACAUAAAUUACUGGCUGAAAGAGAUGGGCAAACAUGUCAACCUUUGCGCUUAACUUAAGGCUUUUUUAGUUUGAAAUGUGAAUUUGAUUCCAAAUCAAGUCAACCACAAGGUAAUACCAGAAACUGCCUUUAACUAAAUAAUUGAACCCUUUAUCCCCGCUAUUGGGAUUUCUGUAGUGAUUAAUAUUCACGUCAGAAACUUGUGAUACGCCUUUUUGGUUCUAAAUAUCACUGACAUUAUGCGAAAGCAAGUUGUAACACACCUUUUUGGGGGUAACACAGUAUCUCCCCUUCUUUCCUGUGUAUCAAUCUUGAAGAUAAAAUACUUCUUGUAAUUGUAAGAGACACUUUAAUAUUGUUAUAAUAACUGAAUUAAAUUGGUUUUCAGUGGCGAUAUAUUCUGCCUGCCUUGAGCUGGCAAGAAGCACAUGCACCGUGCGAUAAAAUGUGUUUAUGCCAGAAGCUUUUUUUUAUGAUACAGCGCCAGUUACCUGUUGUGAUUUAAGCAGUGUGAUUAAA